Molecule: non-coding RNA, 22 nt
Filed under: Rattus norvegicus (Norway rat)
Lineage: Eukaryota; Metazoa; Chordata; Mammalia; Rodentia; Muridae
Source: RNAcentral
UGCCAAGGCUUGCAGAGGAUCC